Molecule: non-coding RNA, 209 nt
Organism: Pelobates cultripes (western spadefoot toad)
Lineage: Eukaryota; Metazoa; Chordata; Amphibia; Anura; Pelobatidae
Source: the annotation of a GenBank genome assembly
GGAGAGAUUGACAUCCAUCACACACACACACACACACAAUCACACACAAUGCACCCCUUACACACAAAGACAAUGAACCCCUUGCACACAGAAAAACACACAAUGCAUUACACACACACACGCAAUGCAACCCUUACACACAAUGCAUCCCUUACACACACAGAAACACACAAUGCAUUCCUUACACACACUCAAUGCACCCCUUAAAC